GUAAGGAAUAUUGGACAAUGGGGGGAACCCUGAUCCAGCCAUGCCGCGUGUGUGAAGAAGGCCUUUUGGUUGUAAAGCACUUUAAGCGAGGAGGAGGCUACCGAGAUUAAUACUCUUGGAUAGUGGACGUUACUCGCAGAAUAAGCACCGGCUAACUCUGUGCCAGCAGCCGCGGUAAUACAGAGGGUGCAAGCGUUAAUCGGAUUUACUGGGCGUAAAGCGCGCGGAGGUGGACAAUUAAGUCAAAUGUGAAAUCCCCGAGCUUAACUUGGGAAUUGCAUUCGAUACUGGUUGGCUAGAGUAUGGGAGAGGAUGGUAGAAUUCCAGGUGUAGCGGUGAAAUGCGUAGAGAUCUGGAGGAAUACCGAUGGCGAAGGCAGCCAUCUGGCCUAAUACUGACACUGAGGUGCGAAAGCAUGGGGAGCAAACAGGAUUAGAUACCCCAGUAGUCC
RNAcentral lists this ribosomal RNA (451 nucleotides) under uncultured bacterium. Its description in RNAcentral is "bacterial SSU rRNA". It matches the Rfam family "Bacterial small subunit ribosomal RNA", at positions 354 to 796 of the family's 1533-position model. The record is from RNAcentral.